UGGUUCCCUUACGGUCAACGAAGUUAAGUAAUAUCGAACCUGGUCAGUACUUAGAUGGGUGACCGCUUGGGAAUACCAAGUGCUGUAAG
Molecule: non-coding RNA, 89 nt
Organism: Acanthosepion pharaonis
Lineage: Eukaryota; Metazoa; Mollusca; Cephalopoda; Sepiida; Sepiidae
Source: the annotation of a GenBank genome assembly